This is a long non-coding RNA of Triticum dicoccoides, 705 nucleotides long. RefSeq lists it as uncharacterized. The transcript is spliced from 5 exons. The record is from RefSeq and is a predicted model, not a curated record. NCBI's taxonomy places the organism in Eukaryota, Viridiplantae, Streptophyta, Magnoliopsida, Poales, Poaceae.
UGUUUUGCUGUCCCAAAGGCACACGGGAGUCUGCGGGAAAAAAACUGGCGACGUUUUCUCUUGGAUAUUCAGAAAAUGGAGACACUCGGCGAUCUGGCUCUGCUGCAGGACCGUGUGUAACUACUUAGAAGCAUGAAAUAGCUAUGUAGCCAUCUGCCCAGCCAAGUACAAGGGAUGGCAAGGCAGCUUGAAGGUGGUCACGACCAUCUCGCAGAGAUGGUGCAAGCUGCCAAGAAUCAGGGUGCUAGGGCACUGCACUUCACCGCCGGGUGCAAGAUGGUGGAAGUGUGUGAGUACCUGUUGAGGAUUUCCAGGUGGACGUGGAUGUCGUUGACCAAGCAGAUUUUGCCUAUUCUCUAAGAUGGAUGAUGAUGAGCGGUGCAACCGAAAAUUCAGAGCUGGGCUUUACACACUUCAGUGGGAGUAGCAUGACAACACCAAGGUAGAGACCUGAAGAGAAGAAGGGAAUGGACCAAGGAAACUAGAACCGUGUUGUCAUGAUGUGGGUCGUGUCGUCUUCGUCCAUCUCCAUGGAGGCAUAUAUACAUAGGUUAGUCAUAGGAAAGGAGACCGUCUCCAUGGAACUCUGACUGAUGUGUAAUGUCCUCAUAGGACUGGACCGUUUACAGAGGGAGUACUUGAAAAUAGAUUCUUUAUAUAUUGUUUGGUUCCAUCAGCCGCAUAACCUAAAUUAGCAAUUUGGUA